RNAcentral lists this ribosomal RNA (403 nucleotides) under bacterium. RNAcentral describes it as "partial 16S ribosomal RNA". It matches the Rfam family "Bacterial small subunit ribosomal RNA", at positions 355 to 776 of the family's 1533-position model. The record is from RNAcentral.
UGGGGAAUAUUGCACAAUGGAGGGAACUCUGAUGCAGCGACGCCGCGUGAACGAAGAAGGCUUUCGAGUCGUAAAGUUCUUUUAUAUGGGAAGAUAAUGACGGUACCAUAAGAAAAAGCCCCGGCUAACUACGUGCCAGCAGCCGCGGUAAUACGUAGGGGGCUAGCGUUGUCCGGAAUCACUGGGCGUAAAGGGUUCGCAGGCGGAAAUGCAAGUCAGGUGUAAAAGGCAGUAGCUUAACUACUGUAAGCAUUUGAAACUGCAUAUCUUGAGAAGAGUAGAGGUAGGUGGAAUUUUUAGUGUAGCGGUGAAAUGCGUAGAUAUUAAAAAGAAUACCGGUGGCGAAGGCGACUUACUGGGCUCAUUCUGACGCUGAGGAACGAAAGCGUGGGUAGCAAGCAGG